GAUUAUAUGCUUGUCUCUAAGAUUAAGCCAUGCAUGUCUAAGUACAAACUGAAUAAAAGUGAAACCGCGAAUGGCUCAUUAAAUCAGCUAUGAUUCAUUGGAUCUGUACCACUAAUCCUACUUGGAUAUCCGUGGUAAUUCUAGAGCUAAUACAUGCCUCGAGUCCAUGGAGCUACUGCUACCUUCUCUUUGGAGGAGGAUGUAGUUCUGUGGCGCAAUUAUUAGAAUCAGAAACCGGUAUUAUGGGCUCCGGUCCAUAAAAACCUUAGUAUGAUGACUCUGGAUAACAUUUAGCUGAGCGCAUUGUCUUUGCACUUUGGCGCCGCUUCUUUCAAGUGUCUGCCCUAUCAGCUCUAGAUUGUAAGUUAUGUGCUUACAAUGGCUAUAACGGGUAACGGGGAAUCAGGGUUCGAUUCCGGAGAGGGAGCCUGAGAAACGGCUACCACAUCUAAGGAAGGCAGCAGGCACGCAAAUUACCCACUCCCGGCACUGGGAGGUAGUGACGAAAAAUACCGAUGCAAGACUCAUCCGAGGCCUUGUAAUUGGAAUGAAUAAACUGUAAACACUUUAAUGAAGUGUCUAUUGGAGGGCAAGUCUGGUGCCAGCAGCCGCGGUAAUUCCAGCUCCAAUGGCAUAUAUUAAAGUUGUUGCGGUUAAAAAGCUCGUAGUCCAACUACUUGUUUGGGCUGGAUCUCGUGGACUGUAAGUUCCUUUAAUUAGGCUGUCCAUGGCCACGCUCAACCAAUCAACCGCUUCAACCUAUAAUAUGGUUUGGCUAUACAUAGCCGGCUCACACGGGGAUGCUCUUGACCGAGUGUCCCUGAGUGGCUGGCCUGUUUACUUUGAAAAAAUUAGAGUGCUCAAAGCAGGCAACCAAUUGGGCCUGAAUGGUUAUGCAUGGAAUAAUGAAAUAUGACUUCUGGUCCAUUUUUUUUCUCAUAGAGAGAGAUACUGAUCAUUUCAAGAUCAACAACAAUCACUAUCUUGUGUACCGGUUUUCCAAAGGAUACUGAUGAUGGUGAUGAGUAUGUGCCUCACGGCGGCCAGUGUCCAGUAGUAGUAGUAGUACUAUGUCCUACCUACUUACUUACUGCCUGGCCUGUGUUGAUGUGUGCCAUCUCAUCUUAGUCAUAUCUGUGGGAACCAGUUGUAAUGAUCAAUAGAGACUGCUGGGGGCAUUUGUACUGAGGCGCGAGAGGUGAAAUUCUGUGACCGUCUCAAGACAAACAACAGCGAAGGCAUUUGCCAAGGAUGUUUUCACUGAUCAAGAACGAAAGUUAGAGGUUCGAAGGCGAUCAGAUACCGCCCUAGUUCUAACCGUAAACGAUGCUAACCAGCAAUCCGCCGGUUGUUAUACCAAUGACCUGGCGAGCAGCUUCCGGGAAACCAAAGUCUUUGAGUUCCGGGGGAAGUAUGGUUGCAAAGCUGAAACUUAAAGGAAUUGACGGAAGGGCACCACCAGGAGUGGAGCCUGCGGCUUAAUUUGACUCAACACGGGAAACCUCACCAGGUCCGGACACUAGAAGGAUUGACAGAAUGAAAGCUCUUUCUCGAUUCAG
Molecule: ribosomal RNA, 1559 nt
Filed under: Phylladiorhynchus euryalus
Lineage: Eukaryota; Metazoa; Arthropoda; Malacostraca; Decapoda; Galatheidae
Description: SSU rRNA
Rfam family: Eukaryotic small subunit ribosomal RNA
Source: RNAcentral